This 253-nucleotide ribosomal RNA is filed under the name uncultured bacterium. RNAcentral describes it as "partial 16S ribosomal RNA". It matches the Rfam family "Bacterial small subunit ribosomal RNA", at positions 524 to 776 of the family's 1533-position model. The record is from RNAcentral.
UACAGAGGCCUCAAGCGUUAGGCGGAAUCACUGGGCUUAAAGCGUGUGUAGGCGGGUCGUUAAGUACCUUGUGAAAGCCCCCGGCUCAACUGGGGAGGGUCACGCGAUACUGAUCGACUCGAAGGCAGGAGAGGGAAGUGGAAUUCCCGGUGUAGUGGUGAAAUGCGUAGAUAUCGGGAGGAACACCAGUGGCGAAGGCGACUUCCUGGCCUGUUCUUGACGCUGAGGCGCGAAAGCUAGGGGAGCAAACGGG